Molecule: ribosomal RNA, 1337 nt
Filed under: metagenome
Description: bacterial LSU rRNA
Rfam family: Bacterial large subunit ribosomal RNA
Source: RNAcentral
CCCGACAUAAUGCAACUAGCACAAUCUAAUAAUCACCACCACCACCACCACUAAACCCAGCUUUCUUGUACAAAGUGGUGGGCACAGGACCGUACCCGAAACCGACACAGGUGGACUGGUUGAGUAUACCAAGGCGCUUGAGAGAACCAUGCUGAAGGAACUAGGCAAAUUGCUCGCGUAACUUCGGGAUAAGCGAGACCCUUUCCUGGGCAACCAGGAUGGGGUGGCACAGACCAGGGGGUGGCGACUGUUUAGUAAAAACACAGGGCUCUGCGAAGUCGAGAGACGACGUAUAGGGUCUGACGCCUGCCCGGUGCCGGAAGGUUAAAGGGAGAUGUGCAAGCAUCGAACUGAAGCCCCGGUAAACGGCGGCCGUAACAAUAACGGUCCUAAGGUAGCGAAAUUCCUUGUCGGGUAAGUUCCGACCUGCACGAAUGGCGUAACGACCUCCCCACUGUCUCCAGCAUGGGCUCAGCGAAAUUGAAUUCCCCGUGAAGAUGCGGGGUACCCGCGGUCAGACGGAAAGACCCUAUGAACCUUUACUGCAGCUUGGCAGUGGCGCCAGGAGAGGGCUGUGUAGGAUAGGUGGGAGGCUUUGAAGCCGGGGCGCCAGCCUUGGUGGAGCCAACCUUGAAAUACCACCCUGCGCUCUUCUGGCGUCUAACCGAACCCGGUAAGCCCGGGUCGGGACCCUGCCUGGUGGGCAGUUUGACUGGGGCGGUCGCCUCCCAAAAGGUAACGGAGGCGCGCGAUGGUGGGCUCAAGCCGGUCGGACAUCGGCUGUUGAGUGCAAAGGCACAAGCCCGCCUGACUGUGAGAGCGACAGCUCGAACAGGGACGAAAGUCGGCCUUAGUGAUCCGGUGGUCCCGCGUGGAAGGGCCAUCGCUCAACGGAUAAAAGGUACUCUAGGGAUAACAUGCUGAUCUCCCCCAAGAGUCCACAUCGACGGGGAGGUUUGGCACCUCGAUGUCGGCUCAUCGCAUCCCGGGGCUGGAGCAGGUCCCAAGGGUUCGGCUGUUCGCCGAUUAAAGCGGUACGUGAGCUGGGUUUAGAACGUCGUGAGACAGUUCGGUCCCUAUCUGCCGUGGGUGUUGGAGAUUUGAGAGGAUCUGUCCCUAGUACGAGAGGACCGGGAUGGACGCACCUCUGGUGCACCAGUUGUCGUGCCAACGGCAUAGCUGGGUAGCCAAGUGCGGAAUGGAUAACCGCUGAAGGCAUCUAAGCGGGAAACCAGCCUCAAGACGAGAUCUCCCCGAGGGCCGUGAUAGACCAUCACGUCGAUAGGCCGCAGGUAUACAUGGGGCAACCCAUUCAGCCGAGCGGUCCUAAUCGCCCA